RNAcentral lists this ribosomal RNA (538 nucleotides) under uncultured bacterium. RNAcentral describes it as "bacterial SSU rRNA". It matches the Rfam family "Bacterial small subunit ribosomal RNA", at positions 104 to 709 of the family's 1533-position model. The record is from RNAcentral.
GGGUGAGUAAUGUCUGGGAAACUGCCUGAUGGAGGGGGAUAACUACUGGAAACGGUAGCUAAUACCGCAUACCAUCGGAUGUGCCCAGAUGGGAUUAGCUAGUAGGUGGGGUAAAGGCUCACCUAGGCGACGAUCCCUAGCUGGUCUGAGAGGAUGACCAGCCACACUGGAACUGAGACACGGUCCAGACUCCUACGGGAGGCAGCAGUGGGGAAUAUUGCACAAUGGGCGCAAGCCUGAUGCAGCCAUGCCGCGUGUAUGAAGAAGGCCUUCGGGUUGUAAAGUACUUUCAGCGGGGAGGCGUUACCCGCAGAAGAAGCACCGGCUAACUCCGUGCCAGCAGCCGCGGUAAUACGGAGGGUGCAAGCGUUAAUCGGAAUUACUGGGCGUAAAGCGCACGCAGGCGGUUUGUUAAGUCAGAUGUGAAAUCCCCGGGCUCAACCUGGGAACUGCAUCUGAUACUGGCAAGCUUGAGUCUCGUAGAGGGGGGUAGAAUUCCAGGUGUAGCGGUGAAAUGCGUAGAGAUCUGGAGGAAUAC